This 235-nucleotide ribosomal RNA is filed under the name uncultured Actinomycetales bacterium. RNAcentral describes it as "partial 16S ribosomal RNA". It matches the Rfam family "Bacterial small subunit ribosomal RNA", at positions 96 to 334 of the family's 1533-position model. The record is from RNAcentral. Lineage: Bacteria; Bacillati; Actinomycetota; Actinomycetes; Actinomycetales.
UGGCGAACGGGUGAGUAACACGUGGGUGAUCUGCCCUGCACUUCGGGAUAAGCCUGGGAAACUGGGUCUAAUACCGGAUAGGAGCCAUUUUUAGUGUGAUGGUUGGAAAGUUUUUUCGGUGUAGGAUGAGCUCGCGGCCUAUCAGCUUGUUGGUGGGGUAAUGGCCUACCAAGGCGGCGACGGGUAGCCGGCCUGAGAGGGUGAUCGGCCACAUUGGGACUGAGAUACGGCCCAG